This is a long non-coding RNA of Schistocerca serialis cubense, 2293 nucleotides long. RefSeq lists it as uncharacterized. The transcript is spliced from 3 exons. Lineage: Eukaryota; Metazoa; Arthropoda; Insecta; Orthoptera; Acrididae. The record is from RefSeq and is a predicted model, not a curated record.
GCAUGCUUGUAGAGGCUAUUAAACUGCUCGGGAAAGAGUCAGUGCAUUCCAUUUCCCUCGUGAUGAAGAUGCAUGGAGAGAAUGGAUAAGAGCAGUUCACCGUGAUAAUUUCAUCCCUUCAGAUCACUCUGUGAUUUGUGAGCUGCAUUUCCAUGCACACGAAAUAGAAAGAAGUACAUCGUCAUAUGAUGCUAAGACUGGAAGAUUAAUUACACGCCUCUUGAUCGUCCACGUUUAAGGAAAGGUGCAAUACCAGCACUAUUGCCAGCAUGUCCUGAUUAUUUAUCUACACCAUAAGAAGGCAAUAUCUUUCUUUUCGUUGAAGGUAUUAUGUGAUAAAAUUAAUAGUAGUCAUUUGAAUGAGUGGACCUGUGUCAAAAAGUUGAAUGGUGUGUAUUUUCUUUUAAUUAGUGAAAUGCCAUUUUUGAGAGUUCUGUGGUAUGUUACAAUUAACGCAAGUCUCACUUUCACUGUCCAUGUCAAUGAUUAACAGCUUGGUCAAAUAGGGAACAUAAAGUUUCUAGUAACCAUAAGUACCAAAACACAGUUAGCUAAUAUUCUUAAUAUUGUCGAGUUAAAAUUUAGCAACAGAGAAGAUCAGGAACCUAAUGAGAGUAUUGAUUUCAUAACCACUAUUUUGAAUAAUUUAUCUGAAAACUUGCCAGAUAAACAUGAAAUUAUAAACGUUAUGGAAGAACAGAUUCCAUUGCUAAAAUGCAAGAAGAAAAUUGCAAGAUAUUCGUGGGAUAUUUUAGUUUUGUGGUCAUUAGUUCAUUCUAUUUCUCCUCAGUGUUACAAGUUUUUAAGAAGCAGUGGUAUAAUAACUAUGUCUAGCCCUGCUACUCUGACUAGAAUAUGUGGUGGAUUUGCUAGUAAUACUGCUCUUGAACAAGUUCCUGCACAUUUUCUGGGAUACAUAACUAGGACAGUAAUAUUUUUAACUGAAGAAGACCGGGCGGUCUCCUCUCGAUGCAUGAAAUCCAUUUAAAGUCACAAAUGGGCUACAAAGGGGGAAACGUAGUUGGCCAGGCCUACAAUAGUAGUGAAUUUGCAUCCGUAGCCUACGUAUUCGUGGUGCGUGGUUUGGAUACACAGUACACCGAUGUAGCUCAUAUUCUGCCGGUCAAAGUCUUGCAGGCUCCUGCUCUUUUCACCUUCCUUAAAGAUAUUGUAUUGAAGUUAGAAAACAUAGAGUUUGAAGUUGUUGGUAUUGUAUCUCAUAAUAAUAACAUUAAUAAGAAAGCUGUAUCUUACUUCAGUGAUCCAUCCGAACUUCGACACUCUUCUCCAGGUGCUGGAAGUAGGCUAUUUUAUUUUCUUAUCGAUAGUGUGCACCUAUCAAAAUGCAUAAGAAACAACUGGCUGAAUCAGAAAGAAGAGAUUAUAGAGCUUCCGGAUUUUAAUUAUGAGCCCGGGUGAUGGUUUUGCGUCUUUCAACAGCUUGAAAUCUCUUCAUUUGCUGUAAAAGGCAAAUUUAUUGACAUUUGCAAACAAGCUAUGUCUUAAAUCACUGUAUCCCUGAACCAUAGAAAGGCAGAAUGUAAAACUUGCUCUUCAUAUUUUUGACCAUACAACAGCUAUUGCUCUGAGAGAAUUAGGCUCUAAACACAAUACUGAAUACUGCAACUUUCAUUGAGAUCAUUUGCAAGUGGUGGAUGCAGUUAAUGUAAAAACAUUAUUAAAAGGUCAAAGGUUAUUAAAUAGGAUUCAGCAGCCAAUAACCAGGAAUUCUAAGCACAUACUGGAGUUCCUACUUCAGUUUGCAAAUUGGUUAAUAAAGGAAAAUUCUCAGGGUUUAAUUGGUCUUAGCAGAUAAACACAUUUAGCUCUUAGGCAUACCACUCUCACAUUGGUGGAUCUGGCUAGGUAUUGCGACAAUGAGAAAAAGAGGCAAUACUUUCUAACAGGCAAGGUUCAAACUGAUGACCUGGAAAGCAGGUUUGGUAAAUUUUGUCACAUGAGUGGUGGUAAUUACCAUGUGUCAAUUAGACAGAUUUUUGAGACAGAAAGACUCUGAGGGUAUGAAGCUAUGUAUCAUUAAUAUUAAAGUCCCAAAAAUGGGUGGUGUUGUAAUUGCCAAGGAUGACAUUUUUUCUACUGAGACAGAUAUAAAUGACCUCCCAGGAGUGACAUAUAAUGAAGAGUUAAAUGUAGUUGUGGAAGAUGUUGAUAUACAGGAAUUGGAUGAGUAUGUGUGGCCUGUACUCCACUACAUAAGUCGUUACUGCUCAUAUGCAGUCAUUAAGAAACUUAAAUGUGAUUAUUUAUUUUAUUUAUUUGCCUGUAGACAACU